CUACGGGGGGCAGCAGUGAGGAAUUUUGCGCAAUGGGGGAAACCCUGACGCAGCAACGCCGCGUGAGCGAAGAAGGCCCUCGGGUCGUAAAGCUCUGUCAAGUGGGAAAAAAAUCUUUUGAUCAAUAGUCAAAAGACUUGAUGGUACCACUGGAGGAAGCACCGGCUAACUCCGUGCCAGCAGCCGCGGUAAUACGGAGGGUGCAAGCGUUGUUCGGAUUUACUGGGCGUAAAGAGCGGGUAGGCGGUUUAGCAAGUCAGAUGUGAAAGCCCUGGGCUCAACCCGGGAAGUGCAUUUGAAGGUGCUUGGCUGGAGUAGGGGAGAGGGGAUGAGAAUUGCGGGUGUAGGGGUGAAAUGCGUAGAGAUCGGGAGGAACACCGGUGGCGAAGGCGACUCCCUGGACUAAUACUGACGCUGAGGCGCGAAAGCGUGGGGAGCAAACAGGAUUAGAUACCCUUGUAGUC
This 464-nucleotide ribosomal RNA is filed under the name uncultured bacterium. RNAcentral describes it as "partial 16S ribosomal RNA". It matches the Rfam family "Bacterial small subunit ribosomal RNA", at positions 339 to 795 of the family's 1533-position model. The record is from RNAcentral.